UCAGUGUUCACAGUAAAACUGUAACUUAAAGCGGGUACAGCCUCAGUGUUCACAGUAAAGCAGGUACAGCCUCAGUGUUCACAGUAAAGCAGGUACAGCCUCAGUGUUCACAGUAAAGCAGGUACAGCCUCAGUGUUCACAGUAAAGCAGGUACAGCCUCAGUGUUCACAGUAAAGCAGGUACAGCCUCAGUGUUCACAGUAAAGCAGGUACAGCCUCAGUGUUCACAGUAAAGCAGGUACAGCCUCAGUAUUCACAGUAAAGCAGGUACAGCCUCAGUGUUCACAGUAAAGCAGGUACAGC
Long non-coding RNA from Oncorhynchus keta (chum salmon), 302 nucleotides. RefSeq lists it as uncharacterized. The record is from RefSeq and is a predicted model, not a curated record. Lineage: Eukaryota; Metazoa; Chordata; Actinopteri; Salmoniformes; Salmonidae. The transcript is spliced from 3 exons.